This is a small RNA of Oceanobacillus picturae, 69 nucleotides long. It matches the Rfam family "Bacillaceae-1 RNA". NCBI's taxonomy places the organism in Bacteria, Bacillati, Bacillota, Bacilli, Caryophanales, Bacillaceae. The record is from Rfam.
UAAAAAGGACCGAGGUCGGCUAAGAUCGCAACGUCCUGUUGCAACACCGACACUAACACGUCCUGUGCG